Non-coding RNA from Heterocephalus glaber (naked mole-rat), 377 nucleotides. NCBI's taxonomy places the organism in Eukaryota, Metazoa, Chordata, Mammalia, Rodentia, Bathyergidae. The record is from RefSeq and is a predicted model, not a curated record.
CAUGAACCAUCCAAUUACUUAAUACUCAGCUCCAUCAUAAGCGCAUGGAGUCUUCAGAAUUGUUCAACUCUACUCCCUAUGGCAAACAGAAGUGUCAACUGCAGUACAGUUUCUUCUGGUUAUGUGAACAGACAUCACUAAUUUUAAGAAUUACUUAGGUGGCACCCAGAGCCUUGUGUAUGUUAAGAGGAUGUUUCAGUACUGAGUCUUACACUUGCUUACCUGAGCAGCUUUUACAAAGUUGGUUCCACCCAUCAGUCAAGUAGGACAAGAGGAAGGCACAUUUCUGGAGACCUGGGACAUAAGAAGAGAGAGAAUGGAAAAGGAAAAUAGACACGCAGCAUUCGAAUUCAAAAAGUGUGGAAAGCUUUGGAGCA